GACGAACGCUGGCGGCGUGCUUAACACAUGCAAGUCGAGCGGUGAAGGGACCGGUUUUUGCUGGUUCUGGAUGAGUGGCGAACGGGUGAGUAACACGUGAGUAACCUGCCCCCUUCUUCUGGAUAACCGCAUGAAAGUGUGGCUAAUACGGGAUAUUCUGCGCCUGCUGCAUGGUGGGUGUGGGAAAGAUAUUGUUUCGGUGGGGGAUGGGCUCGCGGCCUAUCAGCUUGUUGGUGGGGUGAUGGCCUACCAAGGCGGUGACGGGUAGCCGGCCUGAGAGGGUGGACGGUCACACUGGGACUGAGACACGGCCCAGACUCCUACGGGAGGCAGCAGUGGGGAAUAUUGCACAAUGGGCGCAAGCCUGAUGCAGCGACGCCGCGUGAGGGAUGGAGGCCUUCGGGUUGUAAACCUCUUUCGCCAGUGAAGCAGGCCUGUCCCUUUUGUGGGUGGGUUGACGGUAGCUGGAGAAGAAGCGCCGGCUAACUACGUG
This 493-nucleotide ribosomal RNA is filed under the name uncultured bacterium. Its description in RNAcentral is "partial 16S ribosomal RNA". It matches the Rfam family "Bacterial small subunit ribosomal RNA", at positions 28 to 507 of the family's 1533-position model. The record is from RNAcentral.